This 72-nucleotide transfer RNA is filed under the name Camelus bactrianus (Bactrian camel). It matches the Rfam family "tRNA". Rfam says of the family: Transfer RNA (tRNA) molecules are approximately 80 nucleotides in length. The record is from Rfam by way of RNAcentral. RNAcentral also lists the same sequence under 1 other name. Lineage: Eukaryota; Metazoa; Chordata; Mammalia; Artiodactyla; Camelidae.
GAGGGUGUAGCUCAGGGGCAGAGCACACGCUUGGCGCCCACGAGGUCCUGGGUUCAGUCCCCAGCACCUCCU